This 497-nucleotide ribosomal RNA is filed under the name uncultured bacterium. RNAcentral's name for it is "partial 16S ribosomal RNA". It matches the Rfam family "Bacterial small subunit ribosomal RNA", at positions 28 to 507 of the family's 1533-position model. The record is from RNAcentral.
GAUGAACGCUGGCGGCGUGCCUAAUACAUGCAAGUCGAGCGAACAGAUGAGGAGCUUGCUCCUCUGACGUUAGCGGCGGACGGGUGAGUAACACGUGGAUAACCUACCUAUAAGACUGGGAUAACUUCGGGAAACCGGAGCUAAUACCGGAUAAUAUAUUGAACCGCAUGGUUCAAUAGUGAAAGACGGUUUUGCUGUCACUUAUAGAUGGAUCCGCGCCGCAUUAGCUAGUUGGUAAGGUAACGGCUUACCAAGGCAACGAUGGGUAGCCGACCUGAGAGGGUGAUCGGCCACACUGGAACGGAGACACGGUCCAGACUCCUACGGGAGGCAGCAGUAGGGAAUCUUCCGCAAUGGGCGAAAGCCUGACGGAGCAACGCCGCGUGAGUGAUGAAGGUCUUCGGAUCGUAAAACUCUGUUAUUAGGGAAGAACAAAUGUGUAAGUAACUAUGCACGUCUUGACGGUACCUAAUCAGAAAGCCACGGCUAACUACGUG